Molecule: transfer RNA, 67 nt
Filed under: Marmota monax (woodchuck)
Lineage: Eukaryota; Metazoa; Chordata; Mammalia; Rodentia; Sciuridae
Description: tRNA.Ala
Rfam family: tRNA
About the family: Transfer RNA (tRNA) molecules are approximately 80 nucleotides in length. Their secondary structure includes four short double-helical elements and three loops (D, anti-codon, and T loops).
Source: RNAcentral
GGUUGUAGCUCAGUGGUAGAGCACUUGUCUUGCAGGCAUGAGACACUGGGUUCAAUCCUCAGCAUCA